GAUGAAGAACGUAGCGAAAUGCGAUAAGUAGUGUGAAUUGCAGAAUUCAGUGAAUCAUCGAAUCUUUGAACGCACAUUGCGCCCUUUGGCAUUCCGAAGGGCAUGCCUGUUCGAGCGUCAUUAUCACCCCUCAAGCCCCCCUGGCUUGGUGUUGGACGGUUUUGGUGGGACGUGCAGCCUCUCACCCCUCCUAAAGACAAUGACGGCGGCGUCGUUGGAACCCCCGGUACACUGAGCUUCUUAACUGAGCACGUACUGGAUGCGGGUACGCGAUGCACGGUCUGCCUCCCCUUAGGGAGAACUUUUUCUUAAGGUUGACCUCGGAUCAGGUAGGAAUACCCGCUGAACUUAAGCAUAUCAAUAAGCGGAGGA
RNAcentral lists this unclassified non-coding RNA (372 nucleotides) under soil metagenome. Its description in RNAcentral is "partial contains 5.8S ribosomal RNA, internal transcribed spacer 2, and large subunit ribosomal RNA". The stretch from base 1 to 120 matches the Rfam family "5.8S ribosomal RNA", at positions 35 to 154 of the family's 154-position model. The record is from RNAcentral.